Molecule: long non-coding RNA, 2210 nt
Organism: Cyprinus carpio (common carp)
Lineage: Eukaryota; Metazoa; Chordata; Actinopteri; Cypriniformes; Cyprinidae
Source: Ensembl
CUGGUAUAUCAGUGUCAUAUAAAGGAAUCAACAGGAAAGGAGGGAUUAAAGACUGUGUGUUUGGAGACAAUGACAAAUCCUGGAGUCUGAACUGCUCUGAUUACAGAUUCACUGUCUGGCACAAUAAUAACAGCACUGUUAUACCUGCUGUCUCUUCAUCCUGUAAGAGAGUAGGAGUGUAUGUGGACGUGUCGGCCGGCUCUCUGUCCUUCUACAGCGUCUCUGACACACACACACUCACACACUUACACACAUUCAACACCACAUUCACUGAACCCCUCUACGCUGGGUUUAGGGUUGAAUAUUAUUCCUCAGUGUCUCUGUGUGAUAUUAAACAAUAGAGAGACUCUUUCUGAUGUUCACAUGCACACAAACUCAUCAAAUCUCACAUCAUUACAUUUCUAUCACACAUAACUGAAGCUGAAUGAAGAAACAGCUGAACGAUUGAUUGAUCAUCACAACAGUUAUGUCAGUUCAUGUCCUGAACUGGAUGUGCUGUACAUCAGUAAAAGUGUGAAGCGUAAUUCCAGGACAGUCCUGCUUCUAGUGUGGCUCUGUUCUGUUUCCAGGUUUCUGAGCUUCAUUAAGAGUUCAUCCCAGCUCAACAGAGCUCUAUUAAACAUCCAGAGAUGUGUUUGUUCAGAGCUGAAGGUUUCUGUGAGAAAAUAUCAGAAGAUUCAUGAGCCUUUUGUGUUUGUGUGUUUAUAUUCAGUUCAAUAUUUCCUGAAGCUCAUGCUGCUCAAAACCGUCUGAUGAAGUAGAACACAAUCUUCACACAGAUUCAGAAAAACUCAACCGCAAAACAUCUGGGUGCAUUAGUGUAUUGAGAUUAUUUAUAUCACAAUAAUGAGCAUUUGUGAGUUUAAGUGUCUGGAAAAUAAUGUUUCCCAGAUAAUAUCAGCAUAUUAAUGAGAGUUUAAAUGUGCUCUUCAGAGACUCUGAGCUGUUUGAGUCUUGUUUAGUAAACUGUCUUAGACGUUCACACUGAAAGAUUGAAUCCUGACAUCAGUUUGAGUUCAUAUGAUGUUAUUGUGAUUGGUAUUAAGACUAUAAAUGUUUUAUUAUUAGGAUGUUAUUAAGGUUAUAAAUGAUGUUUGGGUGCAGAAUGUAACUUAAAAACAUUGUGUGUCACAUUAAUUUCUGGAUAAACGAGAAGAUGUCAUCACAGAGACAUUAGAUGAGUCCCAAAUGUGAUUUCUAGUGAGUUCUGCUGAAACAUGAGACGCUGGCGACAGCUGCUCGUCAAAACUCAGUCCAAAACUCAGUCCAAACAUGAAUAAUGACAGCUUUUUAGAAAACAAUUACAGCUGUUUUCAUGACUGGGUCAUUUAUGAACUCUAAUCUACAAAUAAUGAAACCACAUUAAAUAUAAUUGUCUGUAUAAUCUGUGUUCUUUUAUUAAUUUGUAACUUGUAAAAUCAGCACAGAUACAUGUGAGAUAUGUAAUUGUAAAGAAAUGUAAAUGAACUGUAUAUGAACUAGAUGAGUAGAAUGUAACUGAGAAGUGUUCUGUCACACACUCCAGUGCAGUAGGUGGCGCUGAACACAUUUAUCAGUGUUCAUUUAUGUAUGUUGUUCUCACCUGAGGUCUCUUGCGCACGCGCGGUCUGCAUCACGAGGACACGCCUUUGUGUCGAAACCGAAAGUAGAGUCUCAAUACUCACCGAGUGUAAAUUCACAUUUCCAAGAGUUACAAACUGGCAUAAAAAUAACAUUACGGUAAGUUCAGUUAUAAGCUUUUGAUUUCUUGUCAUAUUAUUGUACAGUGUUUGUUGCUUUCAUACUAAACUCGAGCUUUAACCUGUUGUAGUGAGUUGUGACGCUUGUAAAAUCGAGUAGCAUCUGCCUGCAAAACCAGAGGCUGCAUUUUCAGGACCGCAAUCCUAGGACCGCAUUUCUAGGACCCUAGGUUUUUAGUGACAACGCCACCUAGCGAAUUAGAGGACCAGUGAAGAUGGAGGACAAUCAGAGUGUGAGUAUCAAAUGUGAAUCAAUUCUUAUUUGUUCAACAUUAAAAACAAUUGUGAUGCAUUUCAUUGGAAAGUUAACGUAGCUGAAGUGUUCGUGAUUUGCUAAAUAGUCUUGAAUGCAUAUAGCCAUCAUAAAUUAACCUCUGAUUCGUUUUAUGAAUCUGUUGCAUGACUGGUAAGCUUGUGUUGACUUAGUGACAGCACAAUAAACUCUAGCACGUUUGUUGUGAAAGCUUGUUA